GUGUCAGCCGCCGCGGUAAUACGGAGGGUGCAAGCGUUGUUCGGAAUUACUGGGCGUAAAGCGCGCGUAGGCGGUUUGCUAAGUCAGAUGUGAAAGCCCAUGGCUCAACCAUGGACGUGCAUUUGAAACUGGCAGACUUGAGUAUUGGAGGGGGUGGUGGAAUUCCCGGUGUAGAGGUGAAAUUCGUAGAUAUCGGGAGGAAUACCGGUGGCGAAGGCGACCACCUGGCCAAAUACUGACGCUGAGGUGCGAAAGCGUGGGGAGCAAACAGGAUUAGAUACCCCGGUAGUCC
Molecule: ribosomal RNA, 292 nt
Filed under: uncultured bacterium
Lineage: Bacteria
Description: partial 16S ribosomal RNA
Rfam family: Bacterial small subunit ribosomal RNA
Source: RNAcentral